GCCCCCAUCGUCUAGAGGCCCAGGACACCGCCCUUUCAAGGCGGCGGCACGGGUUCGAAUCCCGUUGGGGGCACCG
This 76-nucleotide transfer RNA is filed under the name uncultured Rubrobacteraceae bacterium. RNAcentral's name for it is "tRNA-Glu-TTC". It matches the Rfam family "tRNA". Rfam says of the family: Transfer RNA (tRNA) molecules are approximately 80 nucleotides in length. Their secondary structure includes four short double-helical elements and three loops (D, anti-codon, and T loops). Further hydrogen bonds mediate the characteristic L-shaped molecular structure. tRNAs have two regions of fundamental functional importance: the anti-codon, which is responsible for specific mRNA codon recognition, and the 3' end, to which the tRNAs corresponding amino acid is attached (by aminoacyl-tRNA synthetases). tRNAs cope with the degeneracy of the genetic code in two manners: having more than one tRNA (with a specific anti-codon) for a particular amino acid; and 'wobble' base-pairing, i.e. permitting non-standard base-pairing at the 3rd anti-codon position. The record is from RNAcentral. Lineage: Bacteria; Bacillati; Actinomycetota; Rubrobacteria; Rubrobacterales; Rubrobacteraceae.